AAAGUCACAAAGUAAAGUGUGCUUACAAUUUUAGCAUCACUUCAGUUUGUUUUGUGCGCGCAUGUAUAUCCAAUUUUAAAAUUGUUUGUUCAUGUUUGUUUGUUUGUUUUUUCGUCCAUUUGCAGUUGGUUAUCGUGUGUUCAAUUGAUUUUAUGACUCGGAUUUCCCUGUGCAAUGAUACGCAAUGUGGCCUCGGAUGAUGGUCUCGGCCACACAAGCCUGUAGAGAUAGAGCUUCGUCCUUUCUUUUUGUCCGACGCAACGAGAAUCAACGCUCCGAACCAUCCAGUAAUUUUGAAAACAGUAACAUAAAUCUGUACAAUAAUUAUGCAAGUGCACCGUAUGCAACCUACACAGCACCUCAAUAUACAACGGCAAAUCCAAAUCGAUGUCCAGCUAAUGCAAAUAUUAAGCCAACUUCUAGUGAUGCCGGCAGUGUCGGUGGUUGUCAUGCCGACCAUCAGGAACCAAAAACGACCAACAAGCCUUUGGUGUCAGUUCGAUCAUGCGGACAUCAUGUGCUACGAAAAUCAAAACUCGAUAAUGGCAGCAACAGUGAAACGGUAGUAGCCAACAAACAUGAACGACAAUUUAAUGAGUCUGUGAUAGAGGAGGGACACAAUAACAAUUUCGAUCCGCCACCUUCUCAACUAGCAGGUUCAAGCGCAACAACGGCAAAUUCGUCAACAAAAUUGGGUACAUUUCGACGAAUGCUAAAUGCUAUUAGGUACUGCUUUACAAAACGGGGUCGUUCAAAAAAGCCCGAUUGGCUUUUAGACAAACAACCGUAUCGUUCACGUUCGAAAAGUAUACCAUCGGAAGAUGUGCCAUCAGAUGCAUCAACAACAAAUAUAUUAUGCAGUCACCUGUCAGUUGAUCCGUCCCUGCCAUCACAUUAUCGGUGGUUAACUUUAGUGUCAUUGGCUGUGUUGUACAACAUUGUAUUCGUGGUUGGACGUGCGGUUUUCUGGGAAAUUAAUCAGAGAGUACCAAUGCUAUGGUACGUUCUGGAUUAUGUGUGUGAUGGUAUUUAUUUCAUCGAUAUAAUAGUGCAUUGUCAUGAAGGUUAUUUGGAUCAAGGUCUUUUAGUUCGUGAUGCAGUCAAAUUGCGGGCACACUAUUUUACAACAAAAGGAUGGCGUCUGGAUUUUUUAUCGCUUAUACCGACAGAUUUCGCAUAUAUUUGGUGGCAAACACCAGGCGAAUGUCUCAAAAAAGUGCCAUGCUCAGUUAUUGUGCGAUUAAAUCGGCUAUUCCGUCUGCCAAGAAUGCUCGAAUGGUUUGAACGUACUGAAACGGCAACCGGUUACCCAAACGCAUUUCGUAUUUGUAAAGUUGUUUUAGCGAUUUUAGUUUUAAUCCACUGGAAUGCCUGUUUGUACUUUGCGAUUAGUUAUGCCCUUGGAUUCAAUUCGGAUAAUUGGGUAUACAAUACAAAUGGUACAAUCAAUUCAACACUGUCACGACAGUAUAUUUACUCAUUUUAUUGGUCAACGUUGACCUUGACCACGAUCGGUGAGACGCCAACACCCGAAAAUGAUAUCGAAUAUUUGUUCGUUGUGGCCGAUUUUUUAGCAGGCGUUCUAAUUUUUGCCACCAUUGUUGGUAAUAUUGGUUCGAUGAUUUCCAAUAUAAAUGUGUCACGGGUUGAGUUUCAAAAUCGUAUGGAUGGCGUUAAACAGUACAUGGCUUUCCGGAAAGUAGGCCACGAACUUGAAGCGAGGGUAAUACGCUGGUUUGCGUACACAUGGGCACGCAGCGGAGCAUUAGAUGAAGAACGUGUGCUGUCUGCGUUGCCAGAUAAAUUCAAAGCCGAAAUAGCGAUCCGUGUUCACAUGGAUACAUUGAAGCAAGUGCGAAUCUUUCAAGAUUGUGAGCCCGGUUUGCUGGAGGCGCUGGUAUUAAAACUUAAGCUUCAGGUAUUCAGUCCGGGAGAUUAUAUUUGUCGCAAAGGUGAUGUUGGAAAAGAGAUGUACAUUGUAAAACGAGGUCGUUUAUCGGUAGUGGCUGAUGAUGGUGUUACUGUAUUGGCAACACUUGGUGCGGGCUCUGUGUUUGGUGAAGUAUCUGUACUCGAUAUACCUGGUAAUAAAACCGGUAAUCGUCGUACAGCCAACGUUCGAUCACUGGGCUAUUCGGAUCUGUUUUGUUUGGCCAAACGGGACUUAUGGGAGACAUUGGGCGAUUAUCCAGAAGCGAGAGCAUCGUUAACUGAACGCGGUUGUCAACUUUUACGAAAAGAUGGUUUGCUCGAUGAAGAGCUAUUUGCAAAGGCAUCAACCGUACAAGAAACACUGACCGAUGGUGUUCACAAUCUGGAAAAGUGCGUUGAAAAUCUAAACAUACGAUUGGCUCGUCUCCUUGCCGAAUAUUCAGCCAGUCAAGCCAAAAUAAAACAACGUAUUGCCAAAUUGGAAUUAAGUGCCAUGCAUGCAUCACCUAUGUCGGAUACGGUCGAUGAUGAUUUACUACUAUUUCGAAAGAAUCGACUGUAUUCGAUUCAACCGAGACAAAGGAAACCACGAUUAGCGCUAACAUUCACCCGAAAAGGCACUAUUUAAAUUGCAAAAACGCGAUAUCACAACAACAACAACAACAACGGCAACUAUGGCUGAUUUGUAUAGAAUGUAUCAACCAACUAUAUAUAAUCGGUGUGUUUUAACUGUUUAAAUUUAUCACACCCGGAAACAAUUUAUAGAGCGCCUCAAAACAAAUUCUAGAUUUUAUUACCGUUACGAUCCAAACAUAAAAGUCACUCUUCGGUUUUGUCGAUGUUUGAAGUGAUUCUAAGUUGAGAAUUCUUUCGUCGCAUGAAGAGUACAAAAAAUGACACAAAAACCAAAUAAAAGUAUGAUAUCGCAUUGGAACACACGAUUUCUCUGUACUUAACUUUCUUAUUACAAAAAAAUUUAAAAACAAUUGAAAACAUAGGUUGAAGGUGUUUUUGCGUGAAAUUUAAACUAUACAACAAAAAAUGAGAUAAAACUCAUAUUGGAUAUUAUUGUUAGAUUAUUUGAAAUUUAUCUACUAAAUAGGGGGGGUUAAAAUGGGGAAACAAAUACAAUUUUUAUAUAGAUAAAACAUAAAUUUAAACUAUAAAUCGUUGUUGAACCAAAAUAUCGAAAGAAAAAUCAAAACUCAUAUUUCUGCAUUUAAAUUUAGAUGAACUAAAAACAAGCUCGAAAGAAUAAUACAUUUUAAAACAGCCAAACUCAAAUGCGUUCCAUCGUAACUCUAUAACCGUAUAAACAAAUGCAACUCUCUAUUCUCAUAAGUAUAAAAGUACAUUGUAGGUAGGAUACAGUGCUGUAUCCAGUGUUAGCACCAGUGUCAGUGAUAUUUUUAACGUUUCAACCCAUACUUGGCGUUAAAACUAUGUUAAGUAGCACUGACAGUGGUGCCAAUACUGAAUACAGCACUGUAUUCUACCUACAAUGUACUUUUAUACUUAUGAGAGUAUUUGCAGAAAAGAAAAUAGUUUUUUUUGUUCGUUGGGUGAAUCGGUCUGGACAUUUUUACUGUAUAAUUCACUCUCGUUCUAUAUUUUAAAUGAAAAACUAGCCACUUUAUUAAAUUUCGUAAUUUAAAAUAUGGCACCCAACAGCAAAUGCAUUUCGUUGGGGCGCAUUUUAUUUCUUUUGGGAUUCUUCCACUUUGUAGCCAGCAUAGAUUUGUAAUUUCAACAACAACAACAAAACAACCACUAGGAUAUAUUUAAUAAACAAACAAGCUGUAAUGGAUUUGAUUUCGUUGAGAGUAACCAAGUCAAUGUUCUAGAUAAUGAAAUAUAGAUCUUAAACUUAAUUGUAAAUACAGAGACAAAGCUUACAUAGCUUGAAACAGCAAAAGAGAAAAUGAUAUGAACAUACAAAAUUAUAUGAAUCUGUAUACAAAAUAUUUACGAAUAAAUGC
This is an RNA transcript of Contarinia nasturtii (swede midge), 3911 nucleotides long. It is a transcript of the gene named cyclic nucleotide-gated cation channel subunit A, with no coding region annotated. NCBI's taxonomy places the organism in Eukaryota, Metazoa, Arthropoda, Insecta, Diptera, Cecidomyiidae. The transcript is spliced from 13 exons. The record is from RefSeq and is a predicted model, not a curated record.